Molecule: long non-coding RNA, 617 nt
Organism: Herpailurus yagouaroundi (jaguarundi)
Lineage: Eukaryota; Metazoa; Chordata; Mammalia; Carnivora; Felidae
Exons: 3
Source: RefSeq, a predicted model, not a curated record
GCUCAGCUCUGUGCCAGCUCGGAGGACACAAAUACUCAGGGAAUUCUCCGUCCGUCCGGUGGGAGAGCCAGACACAUAAACAGGCCAUUACAAUGGAAUCUGAUCAGGGCGGCUCCAGCAGUAAACGGGGGGUGUUCUCAGCUACGGGAGGAUCAGCACCUUGAGAUGGGAAAGCUUCUGGAGGAAGUGACAAUUGAACCUUGGCACAAUUGGCUGAGCAGAGAAGAGAAGGGUGAGCAGGCCAAAGGAGGCAUGGGAGCAAAGGCCGGAAAUAGGGCCUACAGCCAGCAUUUCUGCUCCUCCGUGAGCUUGCGAGCCUGUUUUCUGGAUCCUCCAAGAAGAUGCAGACACUGAGGCUCAGAAAGACAAGCAGACCUGCUCAUGAGUCAUCCAGCAAAUGGCAAAUGGCACUCUGGCAAAUGGGAUUGAGACCAAUCCUGCCCCAUUUAAAAGGUGUGCGUUCCUAACCAGUAAGUCAGUGCUUCCCUAAAAGUGCCACCGACAGUCCUUUGAGAUGCUUUCAGUAUAAACCCUGAAUCACUAGACUUGUGUUUGAGUCCAUAUAUGUUUAUUUCAGAGUGUGUUAGGAAAAAGUAAAUGACAGCAUCUGUUUAUGA